Molecule: ribosomal RNA, 354 nt
Filed under: Acinetobacter baumannii
Lineage: Bacteria; Pseudomonadati; Pseudomonadota; Gammaproteobacteria; Moraxellales; Moraxellaceae
Description: bacterial SSU rRNA
Rfam family: Bacterial small subunit ribosomal RNA
Source: RNAcentral
UAACUGAAGAGUUUGAUCAUGGCUCAGAUUGAACGCUGGCGGCAGGCUUAACACAUGCAAGUCGAGCGGGGGAAGGUAGCUUGCUACCGGACCUAGCGGCGGACGGGUGAGUAAUGCUUAGGAAUCUGCCUAUUAGUGGGGGACAACAUCUCGAAAGGGAUGCUAAUACCGCAUACGUCCUACGGGAGAAAGCAGGGGAUCUUCGGACCUUGCGCUAAUAGAUGAGCCUAAGUCGGAUUAGCUAGUUGGUGGGGUAAAGGCCUACCAAGGCGACGAUCUGUAGCGGGUCUGAGAGGAUGAUCCGCCACACUGGGACUGAGACACGGCCCAGACUCCUACGGGAGGCAGCAGUGG